GAGAACCAUAGAAUGAUCCCAAUUAUUUAAAACAGAUAUUUUCACACUCCUACAUUGUAAGUAUUCAAAGGAAUAAUGAAGAUAAUAUAGCCUAAUAAAUUGAAAGACAAUCGUCGAAUUUAUUCAGGAAAAUUUGUACUACAAUCAACAAACUAACUAAUGUCCGUCGCCAGGGCUCGGACCGGAUUUCUUGAUCUCUCUGAGAGUAAAAGCAUUGCUUGAUCCAUGUCCCUUACCUCCAGAAUUAAGGCCUCCUGCCUUUAGAUCUUCAACAUAUAAAUCCUCUAAAAUUUUCUCAAUUUCAAUGUCAAUUGAAUCAUAAUGAUUUUCUGUACUUAUGCUGAGAGGACGGGCUUCAAAUAAAGAGAUAAAAAGGAGAAGAGAAAUGAAGAAGGUAAGAUAUUUUCGAAUUGCAGCCAUAAGAAUAAAUUUUUAGGGUUUUGGAUGCAGGGAAAUUAUUAUUUUGUGAAUUUUAGAAGCUAAAUUGUGUUAAAAUAGAGGCUGUGAUUCAUGUGUAUAUAUAGU
This 525-nucleotide long non-coding RNA is filed under the name Olea europaea (common olive). Its description in RNAcentral is "long non-coding RNA (OEUR_LNC003530)". Lineage: Eukaryota; Viridiplantae; Streptophyta; Magnoliopsida; Lamiales; Oleaceae. The record is from RNAcentral.